CCUACGGGAGGCAGCAGUGAGGAAUAUUGGACAAUGGGCGCAAGCCUGAUCCAGCCAUGCCGCGUGCAGGAUGACGGUCCUAUGGAUUGUAAACUGCUUUUAUACGAGAAGAAACACCCCUACGUGUAGGGACUUGACGGUAUCGUAAGAAUAAGGAUCGGCUAACUCCGUGCCAGCAGCCGCGGUAAUACGGAGGAUCCAAGCGUUAUCCGGAAUCAUUGGGUUUAAAGGGUCCGUAGGCGGUUUAGUAAGUCAGUGGUGAAAUCUUCCCGCUCAACGGGGAAACGGCCAUUGAUACUGCUAGACUUGAAUUAUUAGGAAGUAACUAGAAUAUGUAGUGUAGCGGUGAAAUGCUUAGAGAUUACAUGGAAUACCAAUUGCGAAGGCAGGUUACUACUAAUGGAUUGACGCUGAUGGACGAAAGCGUGGGUAGCGAACAGGAUUAGAUACCCUGGUAGUCCACGCCGUAAACGAUGGAUACUAGCUGUUGGGUGCAAACUCAGUGGCUAAGCGAAAGUGAUAAGUAUCCCCACCUCGGAGUACGUUCGCGAGAAGUAGAACGUACAAUAGAAGUUAGUACGGCGUGAGACGUGACCGACGGACGACGACGAGGGAGGAGG
RNAcentral lists this ribosomal RNA (620 nucleotides) under uncultured bacterium. RNAcentral's name for it is "bacterial SSU rRNA". It matches the Rfam family "Bacterial small subunit ribosomal RNA", at positions 338 to 1414 of the family's 1533-position model. The record is from RNAcentral.